AGUAGUGUAGAAGUUGGUAAUCAGUCUCCUUUCUAAAUCCAUGUCUUUUUGUUUCUUUGUAGACCACUAAUGGACCCCUCUGCAAAGCCAGUGAUCCAGAGGCCUGCAGGAAACCUGCCUACUGUUAUAACUGCUCUAAGAAAGGACACUUCGGCCAUGAAUGCACCGAGAAGAGAAUGUAUAAUGGGACAUAUCCCACCCUGCCAUUUCUUUCCCGUUACGACACAAAGAAUGACUUCCAUUACCGGGAAAUUCGAGUUAAAAAGCAGGCCAGAGAACUUAAGCAAGCUGGAUUGAUUUCACCUGACAGAGCUGUCAUUACAUAUACCCCCCAACCACCCAGGAAGAAACAAAAAAACAGCCACAAACAGUCUCCAUACCCAUACAACACUCACACCAACAACCAGAACACGCCGAAGAGACGCAUCGCGCACACACCCAAACACACAUACUUCAACGUCAAGCAGAACUCAGAAACGCCAGGGAACCACGGCAAACACACCCCUAAGAGCAAGUUUAAACCGCAAGAUCAAAGCCAGAAUGAAGCCAAAAAGAAGAAAAAGAAAACACAAUCUGAAGUUGUUUUAGAUGAAGAUGCAGACUUUCGUAGAGGUUGCAAAAAGAGCCCUCACAAGACAAGAGACGUUUCAUCACCUCGGAAAGCCAAUGUGAAGCCGAAUAAGCCCUUUGGAAUGGAAAAGAACAAUAAAAAGGACAAACUAUCGAAAAAGAAGGAGAGGAAGUGGCAAAAGAGAGAACGAAAAGCUGCAAAAGAUUCUUCCAUGUAUCCUUCCGAUGAAAACCUUUUUCAGAUUAAGCAAAGAAAGGUAUGAAGAUGUAUUUUAAAAAGGCAAAUUGUGUGAAUGGGACGUCAAGUGAUUUAAAGGAUUCACCCUCUACUGGUGGUUGCUUUUGGUCCAUCUUCUUAUUUGUAUACAGUAUUACUGCUUUUUAGGUUGUUCUUGGAAGAAAAAUUCUACGCAAAUCAGACCCUCUCACCCAAAUACAGUUAAUUUCUCAGUGCUUGGCUGUAAUGUAAUGUUUGACAUUAAAAAGUGCAUAAUUUUGGGAAAGAUUUAAUGUUUAUCAAAUUUGGGUAUUUUAAAAGCAGGUGUCCAGCUUGUUACAUGACAAGUGUAUAGAGUUUCCUAUUUUGUGUACAUGCUGACUUCUGUAACAUUGUGAUUAAAUUAAAGUC
This 1198-nucleotide long non-coding RNA is filed under the name Sinocyclocheilus grahami. Its description in RNAcentral is "lncRNA (ENSSGRG00000019739.1)". The record is from RNAcentral. Lineage: Eukaryota; Metazoa; Chordata; Actinopteri; Cypriniformes; Cyprinidae.